AGAGAGUUUAUUAAAAUUUUUGGAUUGUUGUAUUUUGUGAGUGAAUUCUUAGUUAAAUUAAUUGAUACCUAUGUCAGAUAUACAGCUUAUCUUCUCUACCAAAGCUCUUAACAAAACUGUUCAUAAAUCAACUUAAGGACUAAAUGUUUAAAAUAAUGAAUUCUUGGCAUCAUUUCAAAUGGUAGUAGCACCAAAUAUGUUAAAGAUGUUAAUACACUGCUCAGCUACAACAUUAAAACCACUGACAGGUGAAGUGAAAAACAUUGAUUAUAUUGGUACAAUGGCACCUGUCAAGGGUUGGGAUUUAUUAGGCAGCAAGUGAAGUCAGUUCUUAUAUUUCAUAUGUUGGAAACGGGAAAAAUGGUCAAGCUAAACGAGUAUUGACUUCGACAUAGGGCCAAUAGUGAUGGUUAGAUAACUAGAUCAGAGCAUCUCCAAAAGACUUGUGGGGUGUUCUCGGUAUGCAGUGGUAAGUACCUACCAAAAGUGGUGCAAGGAAGGACAACCAGUGAACCGGCAUAAGGCUCAUGAGCGCCCAAAGUUUAUUGAUCCACAUGGGGAGCAAAGGCUAGCCCACACAGAAACGCUAGCUCGAUUUGCAUAAAAAACCCUAAUGCUGGCCAUGAUAGAAAGGUAUCAGAAGACACAGUUUGCUUUGUAUGGAGCUGGAUAGCUGCAAACCAUCAGACAUGUGCAAUUCGUUUCGGUCCGAAUAUGAAUUCGGACAAAUUUCGUGCAAUUCGGACACUCGGGUACUUCCGAAUGUCUGAAUAGCCGAAGUUCCGAAGUGCCGAAUUGCCGAAGUCCCGAAUUUCGGAAUGCCGAACCAAACCGAAAAUGUUUCCCAUGCACAUGCCUACAAACCAUUCAGAGUGCCCAUGAUGACCCCUGUCCACUACUGAAAGCACUUUUUAAUGGGAAUGUGAGCAUUAGAACUGGACCAUGGAACAAUGUAAGACUGUUAUAUAGGGGUGUAUAUAAAAAAUACCCCUCUCUGUCUCAUUAGAGAUAUCUUUGCCAGAAGCUCAAGGAAGCAAGGUGAAAGGUCAGUGUAGGACCCACCUGAGGGGGUUUACCUUGACGGGGCAGGUGGGCAUUCCCCCCAAUGGCCAUUAGAGUAACUAAAUAACCUCCAUUUGUUUAAAUAUACUUAAGGAUUUAGGAGAGAGCGCAGGUAACUUUUUCUUUGGUUUUUAAUGUAAGACUGUUGCCUGGUCUGAUGGAUUACAUUUUCUUAUAAAUCAGGUGGUGGCUGAGUGCAUGUGCAUUGUUUACCUGGGGUAGAAUGGGAGCAAGAUGCACUAUGGGAAAAUGGCAGUUUGCUUGGCCUCCAAAUUCCACAGAGCUCAAUCUGAUUAAGUAUCUGUAGGAUAUGCUGGAACAGUAAAUCCAAUCCAUAGGGACCCUACUUUGCAAACUGCAGGACUUGGAGGAUUUGCUGCUAAUGUUUUGGGGCCACAUAUCACAGGACAAAGCCAGAUAUCUUGGGAAGUCUAUGCUUUGACAAAU
Non-coding RNA from Pelobates cultripes (western spadefoot toad), 1509 nucleotides. The record is from the annotation of a GenBank genome assembly. NCBI's taxonomy places the organism in Eukaryota, Metazoa, Chordata, Amphibia, Anura, Pelobatidae.